GCGGACGAGGACAAAUGGGUGAGUCGUCUCGCUUUCAACGAGAAAAUAGCGGGUUCAAUUCCCGCCGUCCGUA
RNAcentral lists this transfer RNA (73 nucleotides) under Reticulibacter mediterranei. It matches the Rfam family "tRNA". From Rfam's summary of the family: Transfer RNA (tRNA) molecules are approximately 80 nucleotides in length. Their secondary structure includes four short double-helical elements and three loops (D, anti-codon, and T loops). The record is from Rfam by way of RNAcentral. Lineage: Bacteria; Bacillati; Chloroflexota; Ktedonobacteria; Ktedonobacterales; Reticulibacteraceae.